RNAcentral lists this ribosomal RNA (405 nucleotides) under uncultured bacterium. Its description in RNAcentral is "partial 16S ribosomal RNA". It matches the Rfam family "Bacterial small subunit ribosomal RNA", at positions 30 to 526 of the family's 1533-position model. The record is from RNAcentral.
AUUGAACGCUGGCGGCAGGCCUAACACAUGCAAGUCGAACGAGUGGCGGACGGGUGAGUAAUGUCUGGAAACUGCCUGAUGGAGGGGGAUAACUACUGGAAACGGUCGCUAAUACCGCAUACCCUCACAUUGGACCAGUGGGGAUUAGGCUGUUGGGGGGGUAACGGCUCACCAAGGCGACGAUCCCUAGCUGGUCUGAGAGGAUGACCAGCCAAACUGAAAGUGAGACACGGUCCAGACGCCUACGGGAGGCAGCAGUGGGGAAUAUUGCACAAUGGGCGCAAGCCUGAUGCAGCCAUGCCGCGUGUAUGAAGAAGGCCUUCGGGUUGUAAAGUACUUUCAGCGGGGAGGCGUUACCCGCUGAAGAAGCACCGGCUAACUCCGUGCCAGCAGCCGCGGUAAUUC